GAGUUUGAUCGUGGCUCAGAUUGAACGCUGGCGGCAUGCCUUACACAUGCAAGUCGAACGGCAGCAUGAUCUAGCUUGCUAGAUUGAUGGCGAGUGGCGAACGGGUGAGUAAUACAUCGGAACGUGCCCUGUAGUGGGGAUAACUAGUCGAAAGAUUAGCUAAUACCGCAUACGACCUGAGGGUGAAAGUGGGGGACCGCAAGGCCUCAUGCUAUAGGAGCGGCCGAUGUCUGAUUAGCUAGUUGGUGGGGUAGAGGCCCACCAAGGCGACGAUCAGUAGCUGGUCUGAGAGGACGAUCAGCCACACUGGGACUGAGACACGGCCCAGACUCCUACGGGAGGCAGCAGUGGGGAAUUUUGGACAAUGGCGAAAGCCUGAUCCAGCAAUGCCGCGUGUGUGAAGAA
RNAcentral lists this ribosomal RNA (405 nucleotides) under uncultured microorganism. RNAcentral's name for it is "bacterial SSU rRNA". It matches the Rfam family "Bacterial small subunit ribosomal RNA", at positions 9 to 412 of the family's 1533-position model. The record is from RNAcentral.